GUGCUCACUGAAUCUGCCCCCUGAGUGUGUCCCUUAUGGAUCUGAGGAGUUGUAAUCUGGAUAGUCCCACUUUGACCACUGGUUAUACUGGCACUUGGAUCUCUAAGGAUGGUGCGGGGUCUCAGGGAAUCAACAGGG
Molecule: long non-coding RNA, 138 nt
Organism: Myotis davidii
Lineage: Eukaryota; Metazoa; Chordata; Mammalia; Chiroptera; Vespertilionidae
Exons: 3
Source: RefSeq, a predicted model, not a curated record